RNAcentral lists this ribosomal RNA (253 nucleotides) under uncultured bacterium. Its description in RNAcentral is "partial 16S ribosomal RNA". It matches the Rfam family "Bacterial small subunit ribosomal RNA", at positions 524 to 776 of the family's 1533-position model. The record is from RNAcentral.
UACGUAGGGUGCGAGCGUUGUCCGGAAUUAUUGGGCGUAAAGAGCUUGUAGGCGGUCUGUCGCGUCUGCUGUGAAAAUCCGGGGCUCAACCCCGGACUUGCAGUGGGUACGGGCAGACUAGAGUGUGGUAGGGGAGACUGGAAUUCCUGGUGUAGCGGUGAAAUGCGCAGAUAUCAGGAGGAACACCGGUGGCGAAGGCGGAUCUCUGGGCCGUAACUGACGCUGAGGAGCGAAAGCAUGGGGAGCGAACAGG